GUCCCAAUGGCGCAGUGGGAUUAUGGCUGCACCCACAAGACCGGGGUUCGAUCCCCCGCUGGGUCA
This is a non-coding RNA of Caenorhabditis elegans, 66 nucleotides long. The record is from the annotation of a RefSeq genome assembly. Lineage: Eukaryota; Metazoa; Nematoda; Chromadorea; Rhabditida; Rhabditidae.